RNAcentral lists this ribosomal RNA (489 nucleotides) under Tannerella forsythia. RNAcentral describes it as "bacterial SSU rRNA". It matches the Rfam family "Bacterial small subunit ribosomal RNA", at positions 251 to 737 of the family's 1533-position model. Lineage: Bacteria; Pseudomonadati; Bacteroidota; Bacteroidia; Bacteroidales; Tannerellaceae. The record is from RNAcentral.
GGUGAGGUAACGGCUCACCAAGCCAUCGAUGGUUAGGGGUUCUGAGAGGAAGGUCCCCCACACUGGUACUGAGACACGGACCAGACUCCUACGGGAGGCAGCAGUGAGGAAUAUUGGUCAAUGGGCGAGAGCCUGAACCAGCCAAGUCGCGUGAAGGAUGACUGCCCUAUGGGUUGUAAACUUCUUUUACAGGGGAAUAAAAUGAGAUACGUGUAUUUUAUUGCAUGUACCUUGUGAAUAAGCAUCGGCUAACUCCGUGCCAGCAGCCGCGGUAAUACGGAGGAUGCGAGCGUUAUCCGGAUUUAUUGGGUUUAAAGGGUGCGUAGGUGGGCUGUUAAGUCCGCGGUGAAAGUUUGUCGCUUAACGAUAAAAUUGCCGUUGAAACUGGUAGUCUUGAGUAUAGAUGAAGUAGGCGGAAUGCGUGGUGUAGCGGUGAAAUGCAUAGAGAUCACGCAGAACUCCGAUUGCGAAGGCAGCUUACUAAGGUAU